This is a long non-coding RNA of Pocillopora verrucosa, 310 nucleotides long. RefSeq lists it as uncharacterized. NCBI's taxonomy places the organism in Eukaryota, Metazoa, Cnidaria, Anthozoa, Scleractinia, Pocilloporidae. The record is from RefSeq and is a predicted model, not a curated record.
UUUUCUGGUGCCUGCUGGCCAGAAAUAACUGCAGGCUCCACAUUUAUCCAGCCAUGUCCCUCGCUGUUCUUUACAACUGGAGGUCUCAUUCAUCGCCGUUGUAAUGCCAGUGGUCAUUGGGAAAGGAUGAAUAUUAGCCAGUGUCGCAAAUUGGAGUCAAGCCAAGUCCUCAAUAACAUGAAAGACUGUAACCUCUUGAACACCACGUGUUUCCAGUCAGGAGAAGCCUCCACAAUGGAAUUAUAUCAGCUGUACAUCAACGAAGGUCGCGUGUUCGUGGUAUUCAGUUGGAUUUCUGUAUCAAUCAUGC